This 410-nucleotide ribosomal RNA is filed under the name uncultured Micrococcaceae bacterium. RNAcentral's name for it is "bacterial SSU rRNA". It matches the Rfam family "Bacterial small subunit ribosomal RNA", at positions 1 to 407 of the family's 1533-position model. Lineage: Bacteria; Bacillati; Actinomycetota; Actinomycetes; Micrococcales; Micrococcaceae. The record is from RNAcentral.
AGUACGCUAUAGAGUUUGAUCAUGGCUCAGGAUGAACGCUGGCGGCGUGCUUAACACAUGCAAGUCGAACGAUGAUCUCCAGCUUGCUGGGGGGAUUAGUGGCGAACGGGUGGGUAACACGUGAGUAACCUGCCCUUGACUCUGGGAUAAGCCUGGGAAACUGGGUCUAAUACCGGAUACGACUGCCUGACGCAUGUCAUGGUGGUGGAAAGCUUUUGCGGUUUUGGAUGGACUCGCGGCCUAUCAGCUUGUUGGUGGGGUAAUGGCCUACCAAGGCGAUGACGGGUAGCCGGCCUGAGAGGGUGACCGGCCACACUGGGACUGAGACACAGCCCAGACUCCUACGGGAGGCAGCAGUGGGGAAUAUUGCACAAUGGGCGAAAGCCUGAUGCAGCGACGCCGCGUGAGGG